GAUGAACGCUGGCGGCGUGCCUAAUACAUGCAAGUCGAGCGAACGGACGAGAAGCUUGCUUCUCUGAUGUUAGCGGCGGACGGGUGAGUAACACGUGGAUAACCUACCUAUAAGACUGGGAUAACUUCGGGAAACCGGAGCUAAUACCGGAUAAUAUUUUGAACCGCAUGGUUCAAAAGUGAAAGACGGUCUUGCUGUCACUUAUAGAUGGAUCCGCGCUGCAUUAGCUAGUUGGUAAGGUAACGGCUUACCAAGGCAACGAUGCAUAGCCGACCUGAGAGGGGAUUGGGCCACCCAGAAAAGGAGACCGGUCCCAUCCCCAUAGGGGGGGCAACGUAUGGGAAUCUGCCGUAUGGGUACAAAGACUAACGGCAAAACCCCGGGGAGGUGAAGAAGUUUUGCGAGUAGAAAAACCUUUUUUUUGAGAGAAAACAUAUGUUUAAGUAAAGGGCCACUUCUGGGCGGGACCAAACAAAAAAGCCACGGCUACCCUAGG
Molecule: ribosomal RNA, 496 nt
Filed under: uncultured bacterium
Lineage: Bacteria
Description: partial 16S ribosomal RNA
Rfam family: Bacterial small subunit ribosomal RNA
Source: RNAcentral